AUUCAGUGAUCAGCCUAAACAACUCGAAUGUCAAUAUGCUAAAUCCCAUCGCAUGAACACACAAGUGAUAACAGCAAAGAUAACUAAAAAUACAGCAAGGAGCAAAUCAGAACCUCGAUUCUCAAGUGUUUCUUUCACACCAGCAAUCUCACUCUGAAUGUACCCGAUGAACUCCUCGAUCUCGGCAACAGUCUUCUCGACUAAGGUCAUGCGAUCCUCCAAAGCGUAGAGCCGAUUCUCAUAGGACUGAAGCAGGGUUGUUCUGUUGUCACUAAACAUCCUUGAACUCUGCUUGUCAAUGCGAAUUUGGAGAAUGGUCAGCUGCUCUUCAAUGGCUU
Molecule: long non-coding RNA, 338 nt
Filed under: Eutrema salsugineum
Lineage: Eukaryota; Viridiplantae; Streptophyta; Magnoliopsida; Brassicales; Brassicaceae
Description: long non-coding RNA (ESAL_LNC001226)
Source: RNAcentral